RNAcentral lists this ribosomal RNA (301 nucleotides) under uncultured bacterium. RNAcentral's name for it is "partial 16S ribosomal RNA". It matches the Rfam family "Bacterial small subunit ribosomal RNA", at positions 509 to 807 of the family's 1533-position model. The record is from RNAcentral.
CAGUAGCCACGGGAAUACGAAGGGUGCAAGCGUUACUCGGAAUUACUGGGCGUAAAGCGUGCGUAGGUGGUGGUUUAAGUCCGUUGUGAAAGCCCUGGGCUCAACCUGGGAAUUGCAGUGGAUACUGGGUCACUAGAGUGUGGUAGAGGAUAGAGGAAUUUCCGGUGUAACAGUGAAAUGCGUAGAGAUCGGAAGGAACAUCUGUGGCGAAGGCGACUAUCUGGGCCAACACUGACACUGAGGCACGAAAGCGUGGGGAGCAAACAGGAUUAGAUACCCGCGUAGUCCCUGUCUCUUAUAC